ACAAAUGAGUACGAAGCAAACUUGAGCCGCGCCAUAAGACAAUCAACAAAUCUGGGGUCCAGAAUAAUCAGUACUGUAGUGUUCACAGCAAAAAUAUUCGUGGUUUUGUUCUGAACGGGAAUGUGCCUUGUUAUUGAAGUUGAAUUCAAGUACAAGCUUGGUUGGAGAUUUGGCGAGGGCGCUGGAUGCACCCAAUCCCUAAUUGGGAACUAUGUAAACAAAAAAACAUUUCCGUGGAUCUGUACAUCUGGUUGUGGAAGCUCAACUGUAACUCUGUCAUCCAAAGGAUAUGUAUGUACAGCUGCUAGCAGGUUACAAGACUGGGAGCAAGGGGAAUAUUCAUUUAGACAUACAUUUACAUCUGAUGGAAGAUUCACGGUUAGUUUCGAAAGCUGUUGUUGGAUAGCCCUACACUAUGGAAAAGGUGACGGUAAUUGGAGUCUUCCAACGACAGUAGAUUUACGUACACGAUCUGAUUUACACGUUCCUAACAGUAGUCCGUUAGCGGCUGGAAAACCUAUAUACACUAUCAAACUAGGCUGCACCCAGAAAAUCACGAUACCAGUCUUGGACCAAGAUGGCGACAACGUUAAAUGUAGAUGGGCCUCUGGCGACGAAUGCAAGUCUGCAUGUAACCGCAUACCAAAUACAGUUUUAGACGAGAGUAAAUGUACAUUGACGAUAUCUGCAAAAGGAACGGCAAACGAUAUGUAUGCAGUUGCGAUCAUGGUAGAGGACAGGCCUACAUCUUCAAUUACAUUGAACGGACAAGUUUUUACACCGCAAGAUGUACUGUCUUCUAUUCCGGUUCAGUUUUUGGUCAAUACACCUGAGAUUCCGUCAAGGUCUUGCUCAGACAGACCUGUCUUUGUAAGUCCGACACCAGCAGAAUCUGACGUGAUUGUUGUAUUUCCAGGACGGUCAGUCUUUGUCAGCUUUUAUGCAUCAUCUAGAGGAACUAGUAUUACCGCAUUUCUUGUAAUUGGGCCGCCGGGUGUACAACAGUCAACAAUACGUCAGUUGUCUUUGAGACGUGGUGUAUAUUCAACAGAUAUAGCAUGGACACCAUCAGCCGCUGACAGAGGUCCCCAGUCUUUAUGUGCCGAAGCAACUGAUGCGUAUCUAAUUAGCAGCGACAUGAGGUGUUUGACAAUAGCUGCUUGGGAUAUAAAUCCGUGUAACAGCAAGCCAUGUCAGAACAAUGGCACAUGUUCGCGGGUUGGAUAUACUAAAGACUUUGUGUGUACUUGCCUGCCUGGGUACACAGGUCUGCAAUGUCAAAUUGACAUCAAUGAGUGUGCGAGUAAUCCAUGCCUACACGGUGCCACGUGUUUUGAUCUCAUCAACGAAUACUUCUGUGGUUGUGUUUCUGGAUACACAAAUGUCAAUUGUCAGACAGAUAUAAAUGAAUGCGAGUUGCAAACAUGUGAGAAUGGUGGUACAUGUCAAGACCACGUUAAUGCUGCAGUAUGUGACUGCGCUCCGGGGUUCACUGGGGAAAUCUGUCAAACUGGAAUUGAUCUCUGUGAGUCAGAUCCAUGCGAGAACAACGGCGUAUGUCUUUACAACGAAACUACUGGUUAUGAGUGUGAGUGCACUAACGGCUGGUAUGGUUCACAUUGUGCGAUCAGGCAAGAAAAUGAAACUCUUUAUAACGACACCCAAAUGACAACGGAUUACAUGCAUUACUCAAGCUGUGAUUGUUUCUUCGGCCACGGCAAACAAGAGCUCUGCUAUGUAUACAACAAUAAAAAGGGUAUUGGCUUUGGUACCAUAGGAGUCAUUCUUGGAAUCGGUACUGCUGUAAUGAUAUACAGUAUCAUUGAAUGUUUCUUCAACAAGCAUGGGCCAUGUCUCCAUCAAGAACACAUGGACGAACAACAAAACAUUGACGACAACAAGGAGAAAACAGGAAAAGAAAGCGAAACUACUGAAGAAGUUAAAGAUGAAGAUGUGAAGCACAAGAACGAAAACGUCGUCACACAUAGGCAUCGCAAAUGUUGGGCAUGUGAUGUUAAAUACUCGCGCGAUCCUCCGGCUCCAUGGUUCAAACCAUAAAAUAUAAAGGAUAUAGUGAUCGCGUAAGGUGUUUCUCCUGUGGGGGUGAACUACGCAAUUGGGAAUAUGGUGAUGAGCCGUGGGAAGAACAUGCCAGAUGGUUUCCAGAAUGCAUUUUCUUAAGAGAGCAGAAAGGAGAAAAGUACACCAGGAUCCACAGCGAACAGCAAGCAGAAAAUGUUAGCAUUGAUAAAAGAUGUAUGGGGUCAGCUACUGGCGAGAAAUGUAGUUGUCAUUGCCGUACCCGUUUAAAACUCAAAGGAGUACAUUUCGUGAUUUGUAACCCGUUUUGUCCCGCUGGUACCUUGACACAUUAAAUAUUUCUCAGCCACGAAGGAAAAAAACACAAAAUAAGGUCCUAGACAUUUAAUGCACAGGAUUCAUCGAUUUAGAAACACGUUACGCUGAUGUGUAUUAACGUCUUUAACCAUAUACUGAUCAAUGUGAAAGAAAUGACCCUGUAAGUCAACCAGACAUUCCGGAUCCUAACCUUAUUUACAGAAAAUCUGAUUACGUAUUACCAGAAGAAACAAGUCAGUUUGCUAUUCCUUGUUUAAAUGUCAACACAGCGGAAGAUAAAAAAAGUGCUGGAGGAAAACCGAAGACUGAAGGAGCUAAUUACUUGCAAGAUUUGCUAAGACCACGAAGUGUAUAUUGUGUUUCUACCUUGUGGCCAUCUUGUUUCUUGUCAAGAUUGUGCGCGUAUGCUUGAAACAUGUGCUGUUUCUCGGGCUACUAUACAAGGAAAAGUCAUGAUUAUGACAUAAGAUUUACUCAGAAAUUAACGUUGGACAUUUUUUUUAUAAUAUUAUACUUAAUUAUAGUAAUAAUGACGUCAAAAGUGCCGGCAAAAAUGUUUGCUGACUAGUGACUAUAUGGUGCAAUAGUUUGGUUUUAAAUACAUACUGUGUCUCCUUUCAAUUAGUUUUUCAAGCCAUUGUUUUUUAAAGAAACAUCAAACUGGAAUUAUCUUUAUGUUUAUAGAAUAUAUCAGUUUUAUUCCUCUACAUCUAUAUGUAUUCAAUUUGUACUGUCUAUUCGUACAUUUACAAUAUUACUAAAAAUCCAUAUGUACUGAUAAUAAAGCACUUUAAAAGAC
This is an RNA transcript of Mercenaria mercenaria, 3157 nucleotides long. It is a transcript of the gene named integrin beta-like protein C, with no coding region annotated. NCBI's taxonomy places the organism in Eukaryota, Metazoa, Mollusca, Bivalvia, Venerida, Veneridae. The record is from RefSeq and is a predicted model, not a curated record. The transcript is spliced from 16 exons.